Molecule: non-coding RNA, 261 nt
Filed under: Psychrobacillus sp.
Lineage: Bacteria; Bacillati; Bacillota; Bacilli; Caryophanales; Bacillaceae
Description: T-box sequence
Rfam family: T-box leader
About the family: Uncharged tRNA acts as the effector for transcription antitermination of genes in the T-box leader family. T-boxes are found upstream of many aminoacyl-tRNA synthetase genes and some amino acid biosynthetic genes usually in Gram-positive bacteria.
Source: RNAcentral
ACAUAUGCUAUGAAGAGAAGAGUAAAAUAAUGUUGUUUUUUUUAAAGAGAGCUUUGUUUGCUGAAAAAAAGCAAAAAACACUUAUUUGAAAAUGGUCUCAGAGCUUCGUACUGAACGUAUUACUUAGUAUACUAGUAAGCUACGACAAGAAUCAGCACUUGUUAUAAAUGCUGGAGUAUUAGUUUUUGAUACUCACUAAGGUAGACAACGGGAGUUGUUUAUAAAUUUAGGUGGUACCACGAGUUUAACCUCGUCCUUUUU